GCCUUAGAUGUUCUGGGCCGCACACGCGCUACACUGAAGGAGGCAGCGUGUACUCCUGGAUCGAAAGAUUUGGGUAACCCGCGAAUCUCCUUCGUGCUAGGGAUUGAGGUUUGCAAUUAUCCUUCAUGAACGAGGAAUUCCCAGUAAGUGCAAGUCAUAAGCUUGCGCUGACUACGUCCCUGCCCUUUGUACACACCGCCCGUCGCUACUACCGAUUGAAUGAUUUAGUGAGGACUUCGGACUGGGACCGAUGCGGCUUUCGGGCUGCGUCGGUAUUCUGGAAAGAUGUCCAAACUGUNUNAUUUAGNGGAAGUAAAANUCGUANCA
RNAcentral lists this ribosomal RNA (327 nucleotides) under uncultured eukaryote. RNAcentral's name for it is "partial 18S ribosomal RNA". It matches the Rfam family "Eukaryotic small subunit ribosomal RNA", at positions 1470 to 1796 of the family's 1831-position model. The record is from RNAcentral.